RNAcentral lists this unclassified non-coding RNA (321 nucleotides) under uncultured fungus. RNAcentral describes it as "partial contains 5.8S ribosomal RNA and internal transcribed spacer 2". The stretch from base 1 to 133 matches the Rfam family "5.8S ribosomal RNA", at positions 22 to 154 of the family's 154-position model. The record is from RNAcentral. Lineage: Eukaryota; Fungi.
UGGUUCUGGCAUCGAUGAAGAACGCAGCGAAAUGCGAUAAGUAGUGUGAAUUGCAGAAUUCAGUGAAUCAUCGAAUCUUUGAACGCACAUUGCGCCCCUCGGUAUUCCGUGGGGCAUGCCUGUUCGAGCGUCAUUUACACCCUCAAGCCUAGCUUGGUAUUGGGCGUUUGUCAAGCUUCGCGUUUGACUCGCCUUAAAAUCAUUGGCAGCCUGCCUUCGCCCGUCCGAGCACAGCACAAACGUGUCUCGAAACAGCGAAAGUAGGCUUUCCAAAAGCUCUUUUUUCAGUUUGACCUCGGAUCAGGUAGGAAUACCCGCUGA